This is a long non-coding RNA of Daphnia pulicaria, 657 nucleotides long. RefSeq lists it as uncharacterized. NCBI's taxonomy places the organism in Eukaryota, Metazoa, Arthropoda, Branchiopoda, Diplostraca, Daphniidae. The record is from RefSeq and is a predicted model, not a curated record. The transcript is spliced from 4 exons.
CACUUUUUUUAGCAUCAGGAAAUUUAUCUCAACAUGUGGAGUAAUGCUGUUGGUUGCUUUGAAUUCCAUUUUUACGGUUUUGUCAUCAUGAACUUUUCAGUGUUUUUGUUAGAAAAAAGCACGCAGUUUCUUUGUGGAAUCGUGUGGUCCUGGCAUGGAGGUUCUUGAGCCAACGCUGGUUUUUGUCCAUGUCCAACGUUCUGCUCCAUCCUUAUCUUCCGGCGUAAGCUCAUCCAGCUUCUGCUUCAUCGCUUCCACGCUUCGUACACAAAAAUACAACUUGUCUUACUUCACUGACGAGUUGGAACACUUCAGUGGUCGCUUCCGUGUCGCUGUUACACACCUGCAGUCAAUCACCACGGGAUUAUGCCCAGGUAAUGCAGAGGAGAGGUCGAGAAGAUGGAUUUUCUCAUCUUUAAAAAUCGUCACCGGUCUCCGUGGAAUGUUGCCCCUGGUCCUGGUGCGAACGAAACUCGUUGGAGUGAAUUGAUAAUGCGCAACAAAAUACUUCUGGCAAUGGAAAGGGACCAUCACUGGAAAACGAAAAGGGACAAUCGCGACCAUCACCGAGACUCGUCAUCAACGUGGAUCAUCGUAUUGUUGGUAUUAUUUCAUCUGUGUUAGUGUUAGUUAACCCGUUGGCUGCCACGCCUUUGU